GUAAACUAGUAAUUAUGGUAAUAGGCUCUUUUUGCCGAAGGAUCGGGUUUAGAGUAAUUUAGAAAGUUGCAUGAACAUUGAUAACAGAUAAGAAUAGUAGAUAUAUGAGAGUUAUUAAGUGAAAUCUAAAUCCUAACAACAAACUCAUCUCAUAUUAUCAACAUCAUCCAUCCACUUUUGUGUUUAACCUCAAUUGAUCAAAUUGCAUUCAUGUUUAUUUUUCAACACUUUACAUUCAAAAACCUCAAAAUAUUGUUCUUAUAGUCUUGAUUGGUUAAGUGAAAGCACAACAGUUUAGUGUCGUGAGUCUGUUGGGAAACGAUACUUGGUCUUACCAUUUAUUAUUACUUGAUACGAUUUGGUACACUUGCCAGGGUGUAAACAAGUUUUUGGCGCUGUUGUCGUAGACUCAUGGUAUAACUAUUCUAUAUCUGUGAUUCUUAACUGAUUAGACUUUUUAUCUUUCUAUCUAAUUUCUAUCUCUCUAUCUCUCUAUCUUUCCA
RNAcentral lists this long non-coding RNA (503 nucleotides) under Vigna radiata. RNAcentral describes it as "long non-coding RNA (VRAD_LNC015209)". Lineage: Eukaryota; Viridiplantae; Streptophyta; Magnoliopsida; Fabales; Fabaceae. The record is from RNAcentral.